CCUUCGAUAGCUCAGCUGGUAGAGCGGAGGACUGUAGUUACAUUCGUUGCAGCCAUCCUUAGGUCGCUGGUUCGAUUCCGGCUCGAAGGA
This 90-nucleotide transfer RNA is filed under the name Mus musculus (house mouse). It matches the Rfam family "tRNA". Rfam says of the family: Transfer RNA (tRNA) molecules are approximately 80 nucleotides in length. Their secondary structure includes four short double-helical elements and three loops (D, anti-codon, and T loops). Further hydrogen bonds mediate the characteristic L-shaped molecular structure. tRNAs have two regions of fundamental functional importance: the anti-codon, which is responsible for specific mRNA codon recognition, and the 3' end, to which the tRNAs corresponding amino acid is attached (by aminoacyl-tRNA synthetases). tRNAs cope with the degeneracy of the genetic code in two manners: having more than one tRNA (with a specific anti-codon) for a particular amino acid; and 'wobble' base-pairing, i.e. permitting non-standard base-pairing at the 3rd anti-codon position. The record is from Rfam by way of RNAcentral. Lineage: Eukaryota; Metazoa; Chordata; Mammalia; Rodentia; Muridae.